GGCGAACGCUGGCGGCGUGCUUAACACAUGCAAGUCGAGCGGUAAGGCUCCUUCGGGAGUACACGAGCGGCGAACGGGUGAGUAACACGUGAGCAAUCUGCCCCUCUCAUCGGAAUAACCAUUGGAAACGAUGGCUAAUGCCGAAUAUGACCUCGGAUCACAUGUUCUGAGGUGGAAAGCUCCGGCGGAGAAGGAUGAGC
This 200-nucleotide ribosomal RNA is filed under the name uncultured bacterium. RNAcentral's name for it is "partial 16S ribosomal RNA". It matches the Rfam family "Bacterial small subunit ribosomal RNA", at positions 28 to 230 of the family's 1533-position model. The record is from RNAcentral.